RNAcentral lists this non-coding RNA (45 nucleotides) under Schistosoma curassoni. The record is from RNAcentral. Lineage: Eukaryota; Metazoa; Platyhelminthes; Trematoda; Strigeidida; Schistosomatidae.
ACCCAGCUGACGAGUCCCAAAUAGGACGAAACGCGCGUCCCGGAU